This 497-nucleotide ribosomal RNA is filed under the name uncultured bacterium. RNAcentral describes it as "partial 16S ribosomal RNA". It matches the Rfam family "Bacterial small subunit ribosomal RNA", at positions 28 to 507 of the family's 1533-position model. The record is from RNAcentral.
GAUGAACGCUGGCGGCGUGCCUAAUACAUGCAAGUCGAGCGAACGGACGAGAAGCUUGCUUCUCUGAUGUUAGCGGCGGACGGGUGAGUAACACGUGGAUAACCUACCUAUAAGACUGGGAUAACUUCGGGAAACCGUAGCUAAUACCGGAUAAUAUUUUGAACCGCAUGGUUCAAAAGUGAAAGACGGUCUUGCUGUCACUUAUAGAUGGAUCCGCGCUGCAUUAGCUAGUUGGUAAGGUAACGGCUUACCAAGGCAACGAUGCAUAGCCGACCUGAGAGGGUGAUCGGCCACACUGGAACUGGGACACGGUCCAGACUCCUAAGGGAGGCAGCAGUAGGGAAUCUUCCGCAACGGGGGAAAGCCUGACGGAGCAACGCCGCGUGAGUGAUGAAGGUCUUCGGAUCGUAAAACUCUGUUAUUAGGGAAGAACAUAUGUGUAAGUAACUGUGCACAUCUUGACGGUACCUAAUCAGAAAGCCACGGCUAACUACGUG